RNAcentral lists this ribosomal RNA (687 nucleotides) under Salmonella enterica. RNAcentral's name for it is "partial 23S ribosomal RNA". It matches the Rfam family "Bacterial large subunit ribosomal RNA", at positions 2261 to 2925 of the family's 2925-position model. The record is from RNAcentral. Lineage: Bacteria; Pseudomonadati; Pseudomonadota; Gammaproteobacteria; Enterobacterales; Enterobacteriaceae.
GUGGGUAGUUUGACUGGGGCGGUCUCCUCCUAAAGAGUAACGGAGGAGCACGAAGGUUGGCUAAUCCUGGUCGGACAUCAGGAGGUUAGUGCAAUGGCAUAAGCCAGCUUGACUGCGAGCGUGACGGCGCGAGCAGGUGCGAAAGCAGGUCAUAGUGAUCCGGUGGUUCUGAAUGGAAGGGCCAUCGCUCAACGGAUAAAAGGUACUCCGGGGAUAACAGGCUGAUACCGCCCAAGAGUUCAUAUCGACGGCGGUGUUUGGCACCUCGAUGUCGGCUCAUCACAUCCUGGGGCUGAAGUAGGUCCCAAGGGUAUGGCUGUUCGCCAUUUAAAGUGGUACGCGAGCUGGGUUUAGAACGUCGUGAGACAGUUCGGUCCCUAUCUGCCGUGGGCGCUGGAGAACUGAGGGGGGCUGCUCCUAGUACGAGAGGACCGGAGUGGACGCAUCACUGGUGUUCGGGUUGUCAUGCCAAUGGCACUGCCCGGUAGCUAAAUGCGGAAGAGAUAAGUGCUGAAAGCAUCUAAGCACGAAACUUGCCCCGAGAUGAGUUCUCCCUGAGACUUAAAGUCUCCUGAAGGAACGUUGAAGACGACGACGUUGAUAGGCCGGGUGUGUAAGCGCAGCGAUGCGUUGAGCUAACCGGUACUAAUGAACCGUGAGGCUUAACCUUACAACGCCGAAGCUGUU